GACGAACGCUGGCGGCGUGCAUAACACAUGCAAGUCAAGGGGGUCAGUAGCAAUACUGGCAACCGGCGAACGGGUGCGUAACACGUAAGCGACCUACCUCAAUGUGGGGCAUAGCCGGCCUAACGGCCGGGUAAUUCCGCAUGUGAUCUUGGAGGGGCAUCUCUCCGGGAUGAAACCAGUAAUGGGCAUUGAGAGGGGCUUGCGGCCUAUCAGCUUGUUGGGAGGUAACGGCUCACCAAGGCUACGACGGGUAGCUGGUCUGAGAGGAUGGCCAGCCACAUUGGGACUGAGAAACGGCCCAGACUCCUACGGGAGGCAGCAGUGGGGAAUCUUGCGCAAUGGUCUAACGACUGACGCAGCGACGCCGCGUGAGGGAUGAAGCUCUUCGGAGUGUAAACCUCUGUUGCCCGGGACG
This 415-nucleotide ribosomal RNA is filed under the name uncultured bacterium. Its description in RNAcentral is "bacterial SSU rRNA". It matches the Rfam family "Bacterial small subunit ribosomal RNA", at positions 28 to 447 of the family's 1533-position model. The record is from RNAcentral.